Molecule: long non-coding RNA, 1506 nt
Organism: Alligator sinensis (Chinese alligator)
Lineage: Eukaryota; Metazoa; Chordata; Crocodylia; Alligatoridae
Exons: 2
Source: RefSeq, a predicted model, not a curated record
GUAGGAGGUAAUAGGAAGAGUCAACACUUGAGAUUUAUUAGCAAUGCUUUGCAUGAAGUCUAAGCUGAGAUUGGAGCCACACUGUGCUAGGUGCUGUACAGACAUCCUGGCUGGAGUGAUCCUGUAUUUCAAAACGUUACCAGAUAACCGAUCCUCCUACUCCUUCAGCUACUUCGGCCAUCUGAUCUCAUCCAGCAGUGUGCUCACACCUUGCUGGUUCGCAGAAGCCUUCUGCUUAGCUGCAGGCUGCCAGUGGUUCAAAGACAGGAAAGGCCCUAAAACUCAGGGAAAUAUAGACACACUAGCUCCAGAAAUUAAAAUGCAAUCCAAACUUGGACUGUGCUAGCAAAGACCUGAGAUUUUGCCUUGCUUACAAGUAAGGUUUGACCUUUCCUCUCCAUUGGGGGGAGAGAGAGAGGCUCUGAGGCCUUGAUCAUCGUGGCGUUGUGUCCACAUGAGCUGCACGGUGCAACUGCAUAGAGUCCCGCUGACUUCUCAGGGGACCUGUCCAGAUUACAGGAACCAGACCGAGGAUGAGAUGGAUCCGAUUCUUCUAUCGCAUAACCCAGGAUAAAUCAGAGCGGCUUCCCUGAAGCUCAGUGGAGUUAUUUCGGUUGCAGCGAAAUCAGCCCCUAUGAUUCUAGACGGAUUAGUGGAAAAGGACCAGUUAAUUAGCUUUGCAAGAUCAAGGCAGAACCGUCUCCAUUUUUGCAUAACUGUUAAGUGAGCUUUAAUAGUACACCUACAUAAAACAUACUGCAUGUAAGCACAGCCAACCCCGUUAGUUAUGCCUGAGCUGAAUUUGACUCCCCCCUCCUCAAAAUAGACCUUAAGAGGGAACUGAAACCAUGUUCACGUUGCAUUUUGCGCUGCAAAGAAAAGUGAAAGUUCAAAUAGGUUUUGAAGCCGACCGAGAAUAAACCUUGCCCCGUGGAAAGUAUUUGCAUGUCAAUGUUUCUGCUUGCAAACUUAAUUACAAAUGAACCUCUCAUCUUGCUGAAAAGUGACACCAGCCUAAUGGCAGAAAGGCAGUAAAAAAAAUUUUUUAAAAAUAAAAGUUUCCAGUCUUGUGAUUAACUCUUCCUACAGAGGGUGCAGCCAUCCCCUCCUGCAGAAUAUCCUGAGGAAAAGGGAAAGUUACGGUACUCUUUCUGCUAGGUUAACUUUGCUGCUGUCUUCAGCUGUGUGCUUCUGGGAGGAAGAGGGGCUUGCUGAUCCAGGGAGAGCUCAGCUGUUUUUAAAAUGUCGAUGGGGAACUCCUGGAAAGCCCACAGGAACAGCUCUCAGUCCCAUUGGGAUCAGUAAGAGUUUUGCCUCUGACUCCCCUGGGACCAGGUCCAGCAAGAAGUGUUUGCAGAGCCACGGAGUCAGUUCACAGAUCUCUUGGGAGAGACGAGACCCGGGGAAACCAAUAAUAGGCUGAAGAGAAUCCCCUUCCCCCUGUUAACUGGAGGCAAUGUCUAAACCAGUGGCUUUCCACCUUUUUGGAUUCAAGGCACCCCUCAC